Long non-coding RNA from Mauremys reevesii (Reeves's turtle), 815 nucleotides. RefSeq lists it as uncharacterized. The record is from RefSeq and is a predicted model, not a curated record. The transcript is spliced from 3 exons. NCBI's taxonomy places the organism in Eukaryota, Metazoa, Chordata, Testudines, Geoemydidae.
GGAUGCUGGAAGAGCUAAUUCCCAUGGAUGACCAGCAGGAGGCUCCGCAGGGCUGGACAGCAGGGCUGGCUGCUGGUGAAUGGGCUCACAAAAAACGAUGUGGAGAAGAAACAUUAGACCAGACCACUGACCCAGCCAGGAGACUCCAAAUGGUUCAAACAGAGAGUUGUACAGAGACAAGUCACAGCAGCUCAGCAAUGGUUCUUCAGAGGACUUGGAGAAUCUGGACACCGAAUGCUCCGAAGGAGCAAAUGGAUUGGGCCUGAUCCGGUAUUGCCUAGACCCCAAACCAGAUGCUCAACAGGAUGCUGAGAGAGAAGAGAUGCUUAUUCUAUAGGCCAGUACGAUCUAACAUUGAAGAAGAAAUAUGGCGUCAAGCCUGUGUGAGGCCAUAACCACCAAGUGUGCAAUUGUGUGAGUUAUCAGGCACUGCCGGAGAAAGAUGUAAUCUGAGGGCUGCCCAGGUGUGUCAUAGAUGUCCCCAGCCAGAGGAGUCAUGACUGUGUGAACUGGACUGUAGAUGAUGUGAACUGUAAAAUCAGAGUAAUUAGUGGUAAUUUGUGCUUUGGGAAUGUUUUAAAUAUUCUCAUCCCACUGGGAUACCCACUGCAGUGCCUCUGUUUAACCCAGGAACAUUUAGCUCAAGGGGCAGAGCUGGUGGACCAAGUGACAGAAGCAGAGAUCCCAGACAGAGUGUUCAGUGAAAUAAUCAAACCGACAGAGAGAACAGAGUUAGUGUCAGAAAUGUGAAGGCCAGAAGUGCCCAUUGUGACCAUCUACUCUGGCCUCUUGCAUUAUCCAGGGGACAGUUUCAC